UCUUGGCUGGCUCAGUUGGUAGAGCAUGUGACUUGAUCUCGGAGUUGUGAGUUUGAGCCCCACGUUGAGAA
RNAcentral lists this transfer RNA (71 nucleotides) under Mustela putorius furo (domestic ferret). It matches the Rfam family "tRNA". Rfam says of the family: Transfer RNA (tRNA) molecules are approximately 80 nucleotides in length. Their secondary structure includes four short double-helical elements and three loops (D, anti-codon, and T loops). The record is from Rfam by way of RNAcentral. Lineage: Eukaryota; Metazoa; Chordata; Mammalia; Carnivora; Mustelidae.